GUUCGGUCUGGCUCAGUGUCUUCACAAGAGCAAGUGGCAGCGCUUCCUGGUUCUUGCUCCGAUCAGCCGGGAUCUCCGAGGGUCGCUCCAGGAAAUCAGUAGUGUUGGGGGUCCUAUUCUUUGCUCAAGGGAACCUGGAUAAUGGUAAUGAUGCAGACCGGCAGCUUCCACAAGCAAUCCCAAGUUUGCCUGUGAAUAUUCUCAUUCAACGAGGUCAUUUCAUUCUCAGGGCAUUGAAUUGAUCGCAAGUGGCCUCUUCUGGUUGUCUUAGAAGAUGUUUUGCCUCUCAUCCGAGCAGGCUUCAUCAAUUCAUGCAACAAGGCUGAGUUAGGACAGCACUAAGCUGGGUUUUUGGUGGGGGAAAAGUUGGAGGCAUGCCCCAAACGUCGAAUCCGAUCAUUCUUUUGGAAUGCAAAACAACAGUCGUCAAGAUGGCAGAGAGGCCAUUGUCCGCCAACACGAGUCGUUAGGUACUGGAGUUUCCACCGAACGACAUGUAUUGACGUACACCAAAAACCCAAGGCACUUCUGUCCUAACUAGCCUCGUUGCAUGAACUGAUGAAGCCUGCUCGAAUGAGAGGUGAACAACAACCAGAACUGUCCAGUUGCGAUCGAUUCGAUGCCCUGAGAGUUCCAACGUUGGUCAACAAACCUUCCACUCCUCUUGGCCCCAAACCAAGUCGUUACACAUCGACAUGGCCCGAGCGGCGUCGGUCAGCUUGGCCUUGCUGCCGUCGUCCAGACAGACCAAACACAGGCAGCGUUCCAUCUGGUCCAAAGAAUCCCUGUUGGUCGACUCUGCAAGAGAGCGAGGAGCAUUUCUUCUAAUGCAG
Phyllopteryx taeniolatus (common seadragon) is the source of this 833-nucleotide long non-coding RNA. RefSeq lists it as uncharacterized. The transcript has 3 exons. The record is from RefSeq and is a predicted model, not a curated record. NCBI's taxonomy places the organism in Eukaryota, Metazoa, Chordata, Actinopteri, Syngnathiformes, Syngnathidae.